Molecule: unclassified non-coding RNA, 249 nt
Filed under: uncultured fungus
Lineage: Eukaryota; Fungi
Description: sequence contains ITS1
Source: RNAcentral
GUUCAAGUGGUUGUUUGUAACUUUCGUGUAACUUUGGUUAGGUUACGAUAGAGGAGAAACAGUGCUUCUCCUCUACCUCACUAGUCGCGCGAAUCUUCCGAAGAAGACCACCACUAGUCCUGCGCUGCAGAGAGCACUAACUCCUUGCGGAGUUAGCGACUCCAGCUCGAGCCUGAGCUCGCGCUCGUUGUUCCUCGACUAUCGUCGGGUCAACAGGUAAUGAUCCUUCCGCAGGUUCACCUACGGAAA